RNAcentral lists this ribosomal RNA (636 nucleotides) under uncultured Bacillota bacterium. RNAcentral describes it as "uncultured Firmicutes bacterium partial 16S ribosomal RNA". The record is from RNAcentral. Lineage: Bacteria; Bacillati; Bacillota.
GCGUUGGGAGCUCUCCCAUAUGGUCGACCUGCAGGCGGCCGCGAAUUCACUAGUGAUUCGUAUUACCGCGGCUGCUGGCACAUGGUUAGCCGUGGCUUUCUGGUAAGGUACCGUCAGACUCAGAGCAUUUCCUCUCCAAGCUUUUCUUCCCUUACAACAGAGCUUUACAAUCCUAAGACCUUCAUCACUCACGCGGCAUUGCUUCAUCAGACUUUCGUCCAUUGUGAAAAAUUCCCUACUGCUGCCUCCCGUAGGAGUCUGGGCCGUAUCUCAGUCCCAAUGUGGCCGAUCAACCUCUCAGUUCGGCUACGUAUCAUUGCCUAGGUGGGCCAUUACCCCACCUACUAGCUAAUACGCCGCAUCCCCAUCUUUCAGUGCACCAAACGGUGCUUUCAACUUCUUCUGAUGCCAUAAUGAAGUUCUUAUGCGGUAUUACCCUUCGUUUCCAAAGGCUAUCCCCCGCUAAAAGGUAGGUUAGAUACGUGUUACUCACCCGUUCGCCACUAGAGUGCAAGCACUCCCGUUCGACUUGCAUGUAUUAGGCAUGCUGCCAGCGUUUAUCCUGAGCCAUGAUCAAACUCUAAUCGAAUUCCCGCGGCCGCCAUGGCGGCCGGGAGCAUGCGACGUCGGGCCCAA